GAAACUAAAUAGGAUUCCCACAGUAAUGGCGAAUGAACGUGGAGGAGCUCAGCGUGAGAAUUGUGGCCUUCGGCCUUGAAUUGUAAUCUGAAGAUGUGUUGGCCAACGGAGUCGCAGGCGCAAGCCUCUUGGAAAAGAGCACCGUUGAGGGUGAAGGUCCCGUUCGUCCCUUGCACGCUACCGUGUACGGCGCACAUUCAAAGAGUCACGUUCCUUGGGAUUGGAGCGCAAAUUGGGUGGUAAAUUUCAUCUAAAGCUAAAUAUGGACUCGAAACCGAUAGCAAACAAGUACCAUGAGGGAAAGAUGAAAAGGACUUUGAAAAGAGAGUUAAAAGUGCCUGAACUCGCUGUAGGGAAAGCGGAUGGAACCAGCUUUGCUUGGCAAGAUUGUUGUCGACCCGUCUCGUGUGCGAGGGGGAGCGUUGAAUGCCAGGUCGUGACCCGAAUGUUAGACGUGGGUCGCGAUGUUUCUUGCCUUGUGUGUCACAAACGGUUUGCGAUUGAAGACGACCUCUCGGGACAUGGAAGCUCGCCCCUGGGUGUGCGAACGUACCGUGCUUUUCCUUCUUUUAGACCGACCGCUGGCCCAGCCGUGGGCGGAAGUCAGCGCACGCUGUGCUCAAAUGGCGUGCGCGCGUGUUCUCGUCACGAGGACUGCUAGCUUCCGCUCCGACCCUCGGUGCUUUAGCUUUUGUGACUAAUGGUUCUCUUCGACCCGUCUUGAAACACGGACCAAGGAGU
RNAcentral lists this ribosomal RNA (741 nucleotides) under Polykrikos schwartzii. Its description in RNAcentral is "LSU rRNA". It matches the Rfam family "Eukaryotic large subunit ribosomal RNA", at positions 61 to 674 of the family's 3401-position model. The record is from RNAcentral. Lineage: Eukaryota; Dinophyceae; Gymnodiniales; Gymnodiniaceae.